RNAcentral lists this microRNA precursor (115 nucleotides) under Brugia malayi. RNAcentral describes it as "microRNA bma-mir-72 precursor". Its record names the gene bma-mir-72. The stretch from base 15 to 115 matches the Rfam family "mir-72 microRNA precursor family". The record is from miRBase by way of RNAcentral. Lineage: Eukaryota; Metazoa; Nematoda; Chromadorea; Rhabditida; Onchocercidae.
UCAUGGGACACGGGACAAGGCAAGAUGUUGGCAUAGCUGAACAUGAUAACGAUUAGGCUCUAGUUUAGAGCCUAAUCAAUUUGCAUAGAGCUUCAGCAGUGCCACAUUAGGCCAU